GUUCAACCCCGGGGUUGAAAUUUCAACCCUGCUAGCUGAAGCAGGGUUGAAAUUUCAACCCCGGGAUGAAC
This 71-nucleotide microRNA precursor is filed under the name Paramuricea clavata. The record is from RNAcentral. Lineage: Eukaryota; Metazoa; Cnidaria; Anthozoa; Malacalcyonacea; Plexauridae.